CACCUCAAAACCACCUAAACCACGUCAAAACCACCAAAGCCACCUCAAAAUCUCCAAGACCACCUCAAAGCCACUUCGGCGCCACCAAAAUCACCUCAAAGCCAUCUCAGAAAAGCCAAAACCACCUCAGACCCACCAGAACCACCAAAACCACAUCAAAACCACCUCAAAACCGCUUCAGGACCACCAAAAUCGCCUCAAAACCAUCUGAGAAACGCCGAAACCACCUCAAAACCACCAAAACCACCCAAAACACCUCAAAGCCACCCGAAAAACACCCCAAAAACUCCGCGUCCUGCUCCUUCCCAGUGCUCCUGGCACAGCUGAGCCGUGGUGGCCACCUCUGCAGUGUCCCCACAGUGUCACAACCCUCGCUGUCACCUCUGCGUGGCACCGAGCUGGGCCUCCUCUGCCUCACCUGAGCCCCAAAGGUGUCCCCAAAGGUGGCACGGGUGGUGGCAGGGUUUGGGGUGGGGUGGACACUUCCAGCCCCGUGGAAGAGGUGGUGAAAUUCUUCCUGCAGCUCCCAAGGUGAGGUCACCCGUCUCCCAAAGGGUUCCUCUUGUCCAGAUGACCCCCAAAUCCAUGGGGUGACCUCCCAGGUGAGGUUACACCUCCCAAAUUCCUUGAGGUGACCUCCCAGGUGGGGUUACCCCCCAUCCCAAUGGGUUUCUCUUGUCCAGAUGACCCCCAAAUCCAUGGAGACACCUCCCAGGUGAAGUUACCACUUCUCCAAGGGUCUCCUCAUCCUCCAGACGGCCCCAAACCCUUGAGGUGACCUCCCAGGUGAGGUUACUCCCAUCACAAAGGGUUCCUCUCCUCCAGACAACCCCAAAUUCCUUGAGGUGACCUCCCAGGUGAGGUUACCCAUCCCAAAAUCCAUGGGGUGACUUCCCAGGUAAGGGUUGCCACCUCUCCAAGGGUCUCCUCAUCCUCCAGAUGACCCCAAAUCCAUGGAGAGACCUCCCAGGUGUUGUUACCCCUCCCAAAAUCCAUGGGGAGACCUCCCAGGUGAGGUUACCCAUUUCUUUAAGGGUUCCUUCUCCUCCAGAUGACCCCAAACCCUUGAGGUGACCUCCCAGAUGGGGUUACACCCAUCCCAAAGGGUUCUUCCUCUCCAGACAACCCCAAAUCCACAAGGAGACCUCCCAA
Long non-coding RNA from Melospiza melodia melodia, 1152 nucleotides. RefSeq lists it as uncharacterized. NCBI's taxonomy places the organism in Eukaryota, Metazoa, Chordata, Aves, Passeriformes, Passerellidae. The transcript has 2 exons. The record is from RefSeq and is a predicted model, not a curated record.